UCCCUACGGGGGGCAGCAGUGGGGGAUAUUGCACAAUGGGGGAAACCCUGAUGCAGCGACGCCGCGUGAGUGAAGAAGUAUUUCGGUAUGUAAAGCUCUAUCAGCAGGGAAGAAAAAAGACGGUACCUGACUAAGAAGCCCCGGCUAACUACGUGCCAGCAGCCGCGGUAAUACGUAGGGGGCAAGCGUUAUCCGGAUUUACUGGGUGUAAAGGGAGCGUAGGCGGCCUGCCAAGUCUGAUGUGAAAUACCGGGGCUCAACCCCGGGGCUGCAUUGGAAACUGGCAGGCUGGAGUGACGGAGAGG
Molecule: ribosomal RNA, 305 nt
Filed under: uncultured bacterium
Lineage: Bacteria
Description: partial 16S ribosomal RNA
Rfam family: Bacterial small subunit ribosomal RNA
Source: RNAcentral